AGAUUUCUAAAAAUCCUUUCUAUGUAUUGAUCUUAAGUUAUAUUCUAAUUUUCUGAGAUAAUGAAUUUGGGAUCUUCCUUAGUUGUCAGUUAUAAUAAUCAAAAUUAAAAGAAAUAAAUGUUUGAAAUAUAUCAGUCUGUGUGUAAUGAAUGAAUAUAAUCUACAAGUUGGAAUUAGUGAAAUAAAUCAACUUUUUAAUGAUAUUCUAAUUAUAUGACCAGCACCUGCAAUACUGAAAGAGGUACACAUUAUAGCAUCACGUAAAUGAGUCCCUCCAUUACCACAUGCUGAGUAUUGUGAUUAUUCUGUGUUGAUCUCUAACAUUCAAACUCCAGAUUUCAUUGUUGCUGGAUAAAACAUAUGGGAUAAGGUGAAUAACAGAUGCUUGAACCUUCAAGUUGCAUUCUGUGAAGUGAUAUUUGGUGUAGAUGUGUACACUGUAAAAUUUUUCCAGGAUUUCACAAGAUAUAACUGUAAUAUUUCACAGUUAAUUACAUUAUUACCACUUCACAGGCUUUAACUGUGAUAAUUCACAAUAUAAUACCGUAUUUAGACUUUUACUGUGAAAAUAAUGCAGGCGCGGGGCUUUUACAAGAAACUACUGUGAAUGCCGUCUUUUUUGAGUGGCAACUGCGGCAGCGUCAUCAGAGCGUCAUCAGAGCUCUCUGAUCUACGUGGUCUCAUUCGGUGGAUUCAGACAGCGCAUUUUCUACAUUGACCAACGAUACAUAAAGUUAUAAGGUGCUUCUUGAGCAUCAACCCAGAGACGGGCACAAAAUCUAAGAGGCAGAGAGGUCACAUGAACCAGCAAGUCUGCACUCUUAUCAGGAAGCUCAUUGACUUCGAAUGGAUGUCAAUCUAAUUGGAUAGAACCCACACUAUGCAGGUGCCAGCUGCGAGGGAAGGAGAGAGACACCUGCGACCCUCUCUAUUCCCACCUUUUUGUCUUUUCUUACAUCUCUCUCCCUCACUCUCUCUUCUCUGUCUCCUUCUUUCUCUUUUGACACACAUUCCUGUUACCCAGUGUCAAUCCCGGUUGCCCAGUGUUUUAUUCAUGUAAUUAAAUUGUAUUUUACUUCUAAAAAAUAAAGUUAUGUCACUGUUUUUAUCAGUUUUGUUUGGUCCAUCAUUUACGCUAAAUCACAGUAAUAGAUAGACAUUCACAGUUAUGUACAGUAAUUCUACAGCUGCUUACUGCUAAAUUACAGUAAUAGACUAAUUUCACAGUUAAAUACAUUAAUUCUACAUCUGCUUGCUGCUAAAUUACAGUAAUAGACACUAAUUUCACAGUUAAAUACAUGAAUUCUACAGCUGCUUACUGUUAAAUUACAGUAAUACAUAGACACCAACUGUAAUUUCACAGUUAAAUACAUUAAUUCUACAGCAGCUUACCGCUAAAUCACAGUAAUGCGAUGUCAGAAUUACUGUGAAGUCACAGUAUACAGCUGUCAUUUCACAAUAAUUUACUGUAAAAAUGUUACAGUAACUUACUGUGAAAGUCAUGCAAUUAUUAACCUGCAAUUUAUUGUAAAUUUACAGUCAAAUAAUUAACAGUGUACUUCCUAAUUAUUAUAAAACU
Molecule: long non-coding RNA, 1579 nt
Organism: Carassius gibelio (silver crucian carp)
Lineage: Eukaryota; Metazoa; Chordata; Actinopteri; Cypriniformes; Cyprinidae
Exons: 4
Source: RefSeq, a predicted model, not a curated record